This is a non-coding RNA of Alkaliphilus metalliredigens QYMF, 110 nucleotides long. The record is from Rfam. NCBI's taxonomy places the organism in Bacteria, Bacillati, Bacillota, Clostridia, Peptostreptococcales, Natronincolaceae.
UGCUCUAUCCAUUUGGAGUAACCCUAUCUAUAGGUGCGUCAUCAGCAAUGAAGGGGUUCUAAGCUGUAGAGACAAUGUGAAAAUCCUGCAAGCCUAAUGUGGGUGAUUGC